GACGAACGCUGGCGGCGUGCUUAACACAUGCAAGUCGAGCGGUAAGGCCCUUUCGGGGGUACACGAGCGGCGAACGGGUGAGUAACACGUGGGUGACCUGCCCUCAGCUCUGGGAUAAGCCUGGGAAACUGGGUCUAAUACUGGAUAUGACUCCACGGUGCAUGUCGUGGGGUGGAAAGCCUUGUGCGGCUGAGGGUGGGCCCGCGGCCUAUCAGCUUGUUGGUGGGGUGAUGGCCUACCAAGGCGACGACGGGUAGCCGGCCUGAGAGGGCGACCGGCCACACUGGGACUGAGACACGGCCCAGACUCCUACGGGAGGCAGCAGUGGGGAAUCUUGCGCAAUGGGCGAAAGCCUGACGCAGCGACGCCGCGUGAGGGAUGACGGCCUGGUU
Molecule: ribosomal RNA, 392 nt
Filed under: uncultured bacterium
Lineage: Bacteria
Description: bacterial SSU rRNA
Rfam family: Bacterial small subunit ribosomal RNA
Source: RNAcentral